This 468-nucleotide ribosomal RNA is filed under the name uncultured bacterium. RNAcentral's name for it is "partial 16S ribosomal RNA". It matches the Rfam family "Bacterial small subunit ribosomal RNA", at positions 28 to 507 of the family's 1533-position model. The record is from RNAcentral.
GACGAACGCUGGCGGCGGGCUUAACACAUGCAAGUCGAACGGAAAGGCCCUGCUUGUGUGGGGUGCUCGAGUGGCGAACGGGUGAGGAACACGUGAGUAACCUGCCCUUGACUUUGGGAUAACUUCAGGAAACUGGGGCUAAUACCGGAUAGGAGCUCCUGCUGCAUGGUGGGGGUUGGAAAGUUUCGGCGGUUGGGGAUGGACUCGCGGCUUAUCAGCUUGUUGGUGGGGGAGUGGCUGACCAAGGCUUUGACGGGUAGCCGGCCUGAGAGGGUGACCGGCCACCUUGGGCCUGAGAUACGGCCCAGACUCCUACGGGAGGCAGCAGUGGGGAAUAUUGCACAAUGGGCGGACGCCUGAUGCAGAAACCCCGCGUGCGGGAUGACGGCCUUCGGGUUGUAAACCGCUUUCGCCUGUGACGAAGCGUGAGUGACGGUAAUGGGUAAAGAAGCACCGGCUAACUACGUG